UACGAAGGGGGCUAGCGUUGUUCGGAUUUACUGGGCGUAAAGCGCACGUAGGCGGGUUGUUAAGUCAGGGGUGAAAUCCUGGAGCUCAACUCCAGAACUGCCUUUGAUACUGGCAACCUAGAGGCUGGAAGAGGUUAGUGGAAUUCCCAGUGUAGAGGUGAAAUGUGUAGAGAUCGGGAGGAACACCGGUGGCGAAGGCGGGUCUCUGGGCAUCUCCUGACGCUGAGGCGCGAAAGCGUGGGGAGCAAACGGG
Molecule: ribosomal RNA, 253 nt
Filed under: uncultured bacterium
Lineage: Bacteria
Description: partial 16S ribosomal RNA
Rfam family: Bacterial small subunit ribosomal RNA
Source: RNAcentral